Molecule: long non-coding RNA, 357 nt
Filed under: Vitis vinifera (wine grape)
Lineage: Eukaryota; Viridiplantae; Streptophyta; Magnoliopsida; Vitales; Vitaceae
Description: long non-coding RNA (VVIN_LNC002490)
Source: RNAcentral
UGCCAUGCCUGUCAUCACUGAUCCGUAAUCGUGACAAUGGAGACACAAUUGGAGAUGGAGAUGGCCUGUUGACUUCAGCAGAUACAGGUACAUUCUUUAAAGCAUGAGUUCUUUCCAAUCCCAAAUCUGGUACAAAACCAGCUCCCAGGUCCAACUGAAAAUUAUCAAGUGACUCAGACACAGGCCCAAGCAAGGACACUGGGUCAGGAACAUAGCAUGGGUCUUCAAAUAGUUCUGGAUCUUCAGACAUGAAUUCAUGGGUUCCUUCACCAGCAUGAGGAAACAAGGGAUCAAUUGCAGAAGGAAAACCAGAACUACUACUAGUUGAUCCAUUUGGAAAGGUAGGCAGAUUGAACA